RNAcentral lists this ribosomal RNA (253 nucleotides) under uncultured bacterium. RNAcentral's name for it is "partial 16S ribosomal RNA". It matches the Rfam family "Bacterial small subunit ribosomal RNA", at positions 524 to 776 of the family's 1533-position model. The record is from RNAcentral.
UACGGAGGGUGCAAGCGUUAUCCGGAUUCACUGGGUUUAAAGGGUGCGUAGGUGGGUUGGUAAGUCAGUGGUGAAAUCCCCGAGCUUAACUUGGGAGCUGCCAUUGAUACUAUUAAUCUUGAAUACCGUGGAGGUUAGCGGAAUAUGUCAUGUAGCGGUGAAAUGCUUAGAUAUGACAUAGAACACCAAUUGCGAAGGCAGCUGGCUACACGAAUAUUGACACUGAUGCACGAAAGCGUGGGGAUCAAACAGG